CCCUUAGAUGUUCUGGGCUGCACGCGUGCUACACUGAUAUUGCCAAUAUGUCAUUCUUAUCCGAAAUGGAUUGGGUAAUCAAGUAGUGAAAUUUCAUGCUUGGAAUCGGUAAUUGCAAUUUUAUCGUGAACGAGGAAUUCCUAGUAAGCACUAGUCAUCAGCUAAUGUUGAUUAUGUCCCUGCCCUUUGUACACACCGCCCGUCGCUACUACUGAUUGGGUGUUCAAGUGAGAUGCUUAGACCCUUGUUGCAUGGUUCAUUAUUGUGCUCCGAAAGGAAAAAGUUUCAAGCUUGAGUGUCUAGAGGAAGUAAAAGUCGUAACA
RNAcentral lists this ribosomal RNA (323 nucleotides) under uncultured eukaryote. RNAcentral describes it as "partial 18S ribosomal RNA". It matches the Rfam family "Eukaryotic small subunit ribosomal RNA", at positions 1470 to 1796 of the family's 1831-position model. The record is from RNAcentral.